GGGGCCAAGUCAGGAAGGGAAGGCUGAGCACUGAGACCCCAGACACCAGGGCACAAAGAAGUGACAGCUCCCCAGUGACACCGACUCCCCCAGGAUUUGGAAGAGACUGAGGACACGCAGGUCACUGAUUAGGUUGUCCCCCAUUGCCAGAACCAGGUUGAGCAGCGCUUUACCUCUCAUCGGCCCACCAACUUCUUGCAUCAGAUAGAGCUCAUCCACGCAUUUAUUACACAUAAGCGAGGUGUGCACCUUCAGGUGAGCGCUGGGAUCUUUAGAGGAUCUGACCACAGCCCCUAAUCCAGAUUGAAGGGCAGAACUGGAUUGACGGGCACACCAGCUGGCACCGUGUUCAAGAUGUUCAUCAUUCUCCAGCCACCCGACAGCCCCAGCAAGGUACAGAGCUGACAUCAUUACACUGGAGACAUGAAUGACCCAUUUGGUGUCAAGACUUCCUUCUUUCUCCCUAGAUAUAUGCUCCAUAACCUGGAAAGAUGGGUCUUAGCCUGCAGGGAUGAGCAUUAUGAAAGUACCUGAAACCCAGGUUUUUAUGGGAUUGAGAUAGGACACAAAUUACUGACUGUGGGGAAAUUUUUGACAGAACUGAAUCAGUACUUUUGUAAAUGUGGGCCCUUUCUUUAGGUCUGCCCUGAAACGCUGAAUUACUGCCACUUCCAACGGGGAAUAUCCUGAAUUACCUUCCUAGUGAGGAGUGACUUGGGUUGGGGAGAAAUUAAGAUCCUUUUGGUAUGAAAAAGCAUGUGAAAGGCUAGGAAAUAGAAAUAAAUCUGCCAUGAAAGAAAUGAAUCCUUCCAUUUAUAUGGAGAAUAUUGGCAGCAGUAAGAGUCAAUGUCCAUCCCUGUAUGCUGAAAAUGUGCGGUGUUGUAGCCUCUGCCUCCUUAUAA
Molecule: long non-coding RNA, 902 nt
Organism: Alligator mississippiensis (American alligator)
Lineage: Eukaryota; Metazoa; Chordata; Crocodylia; Alligatoridae
Exons: 3
Source: RefSeq, a predicted model, not a curated record